CUUUCUGUUGGCACACAGCUGUCAUCAGUUUUGGGGUUGGGGAAAAAAAGAACUAAAAUUAUCAUCAUAACCUUGAAUUAUCAUUACCUGUGUUAUAGGUAGCUUCUCUGCCUAUAAGAACAGAGAACCCCUAUGCCUCUUAUACUACCAGAAUUCUUUCAAUUAUGGAGAUUUAGGAAAGCAUAUUUCAAGUUUCCUCUGAGGAGAAGGCGAACAUGUUCCUUUCUAAAAUAAUGUUCAUGGAGCCAGUACAAUUUAAUAACUCAUAAGUGCUAAAUAUUUAAAUUUGUGUAAAUUGUAGGUUAUAUGGUCAAAGCAAAUUUAGAUAUGCUUGGCUUGCUUUUAAAAUUUAUUAUUAUCCCCCUACAUUUGGACCUUCUUAUAUAUCAAACCUUUGUUUUUCUCUUAAUUGUCCUUCCUGAAUGAUUUUACUCACUAAUAGCAGUUAGUUCCUUUUCCCCAUGUUUCCACAUGUGUUCCAGGGGUAAUUUUGAUCCCUUAAUGAAUUUACUUCCGCAAAACUUAAUAUCCAUCUCCUUCCUCAAAAUGUUUCUCAAGUUCUGCCUCACUGUUGAACAAAUAGGGAUAAGACCUGUGUUUUCAUGGAUAUGAAAAAUGCAAUGGAUGAGGAAACUCUUUCUAAUGAUUCAGGCCAACACCUCAGAAACUCAUCUUCUCCAAGUGUUGCCUUGAACACUGAGAAGUUAAGUGAUUUCCCAUGGUCACACCAACAGUAAAGUGAAACUGGAAUCCACUUCUUCUUGACUGUGGGGAUGGACCUCUGUAGUCAUCUUGAAGAUAGUCAGUAUACCUGGGAGAUGUAUUUCCCAAUGAAACAGAAGGUGAAUAAGCAUCUUCCAACAUGCUUGCCUGAGUCAAUGUCAGAAAGAAAUCGUUAUACCAUUCAUGAGUUUUAUUCCCAAGGACUUGGCAUUGGGUUGGGAGAAUCAAGGCUUCAGCAUAACAAAGAACAUGUAGAGAAGGGGGAAAAAGGCAUGAAAAAUCACAAUGAUAUGCUUGUGCUGACAACUGAGUACCUUGGAAAAUUCCAUAUCUACUAA
This 1061-nucleotide long non-coding RNA is filed under the name Monodelphis domestica (gray short-tailed opossum). RNAcentral's name for it is "lncRNA (ENSMODG00000036024.2)". Lineage: Eukaryota; Metazoa; Chordata; Mammalia; Didelphimorphia; Didelphidae. The record is from RNAcentral.